Molecule: long non-coding RNA, 822 nt
Organism: Electrophorus electricus (electric eel)
Lineage: Eukaryota; Metazoa; Chordata; Actinopteri; Gymnotiformes; Gymnotidae
Source: RefSeq, a predicted model, not a curated record
AAUGUUUCCAGCUACUGCAGCCCAAUACUGAAACAUUUUUGCCUUAGCGCCAACGGAGCCCUUUCAAAAUACCAAAACAAUGCACACUUUCUCUUCUUGUGGUGUUUCUCGUCUCACUGCAGGACAUAACUAGAGGAGAUGACAUUAUUCAUGAGAUACUUGUCCAUCUUCAAGACCUUGCUCGCUACCCUAAUCUCUUCAGCUUUGACACAAACACAAUAUACUUGCCAAAUGUACAGAUGACAAAUAGUGACUUUUGCAACUGUAAAGAAACAGUUGCUCAAGAACUUCUGAAAACUCUUGCUUUGGCAAGAUCUACAGAUCAAGGCAUGGGUCUUGGGCAACAUACAAUCUUUAGAAUGCUACAGUACAAUAUUCAGUCACUACUUCAGUAUUCAGGAACAGCUGGAGGACAGUGUUCGCAAAAUAAGAUGAUCAUCUUGAAGAUUGUGAAAAAAACUCAACAGCUGAUUUUUGUAAAACAAUGCAUCACAUUUUUUCAAAGGUGGAUGAAUAGUUGUGUUAAUAGUUAUCAGUAUUGAUCCAUUAUGUUAAGGCCUUUCUAGUGUCACUGUGCAUAUAAAUAAAGUCAUCAUUACAGACUACCUUUAAAUAUUUGUCUUCUACACGUAACCACUGAUCUGUUAUACUAAUGGCAAAGGGCCAUCCCUACUGGAAACAUUUUUUUGUUUAUUGGUUGGGUUUAUGUCCUAACCGCAAAGGCAAUGAAGGUUUAAUGCCUGUCAUUAAUUCAUUAAAUAUAUUAGUUCAAUAUAUUUAAAAUACUGGCUAAAGUGGAGUGGUUUUGGAAUGUUUACACUG